AUGUCAUUAUGUUAUGUAGGGCCCUCUAAUGAAUAAAUAGUAAAUACUCUCUUUUUUAGUCUUCAGUGUACAGCUAUGCUGAAACUGCACUGGUCCCCACACACUUAUAACAUUAACAAGCUUUGCUUUCAUGGCUUCUUCUCUCUUCACACAUACACGAGACCUUUCUCUGAAUUCCAAGUCACAAACUUCUUACCACUAAGCCUUCCUUUUCACUUCGUUUCAGUCUGUUUUGGGCUUCUUGCUGUUGUUUUUGGGUUUAAUUUCAGUGGAGGAAUGAAUGAAGGGGUGUCUCUCAAGCUGAAGCUGAAGCUGAGUCUGAGUAUGGUUUUUGUGGAGGUGCUUUUGUUGAUUUCGAGUCUGAAUGAAUGUUACUGCAGCCCAUUCAACGAUUUUGGAGGUCCAUUGUCGACUGACAGAAGAGUAGAUGGUUUUCUUCCUGAGAUCUCUCCAGAUUCAGCUCCUCAGCCCCUUCUUCCUCUUCUUGCACCUGCUCCUUUAGCACCUUUCACAAACAGUACUGUCCCAAAGUUAUCAGGACAAUGCACAUUAAAUUUCACUGCUGCCCAAAGUUUGAUGAGCACAACAUCAAUUGAUUGUUGGUCUGUUUUUGCGCCAUUGCUGGCUAAUGUUAUAUGCUGUCCACAGUUAGAAGCCACUCUUGCAAUACUUGUUGGCCAAUCCAGUAAAGAUACCAAUGCUCUUGCUUUAAAUGGGACUGUUUCAAAGUAUUGCCUUUCAGAUAUUGAGCAAAUUUUGGUGGGUCAGGGUGCAGCAGCUAAUGUGAAUAAGAUAUGCUCAAUUCAUCCUUCAAAUCUCACUGAAGGGGCUUGCCCUGUUAAGGAUGUCAAUGAAUUCGAGGGCACUGUGGAUUCUUCCAAGCUACUUGCUGCCUGUGAAAGUAUUGAUCCUGUUAAAGAAUGUUGUAAUCAAGUUUGUCAAAAUGCCAUAGUAGAAGCUGCGACAAAAAUUGCAUUAAAAGGUUCUGAAGUGUUGAGCAUAGCUGGGUCCCGUGGUUUAACUGAGCAGUCAACAAAGGUUGUUGAUUGUAAACAGAUUGUACUCCGAUGGCUGGCUGGUAAACUCGAUCCUUCUCGUGCAAAGGAGGUUCUCAGAGGACUAUCUAAUUGCAAAGUUAAUAACGUUUGCCCUCUGGUUUUCCCUGAUAUGAGACAUGUUGCGAAGGGCUGUGGGAAUGGGAUUAGUAACAAGACAGAAUGUUGUAGUGCCAUGGAGAGCUACGUGUCUCACUUGCAGAAGCAGAGCCUCGUAACCAACUUGCAAGCUCUGAAUUGUGCUACAACUCUAGGAAUGAAGUUACAGAGGUCAAAUAUUACAAAAGAUGUUUAUAGCCUUUGUCAUAUAACCCUUAAGGAUUUCUCCCUUCAAGUUGCAAUUCAAGAGUCUGGAUGCCUUCUACCAAGCUUGCCUUCUGAUGCAACAUUUGAUCAGUACUCAGGGAUCAGCUUCAUUUGUGAUUUGAAUGACAAUAUUCCUGCUCCAUGGCCAUCUACAUCUCAGUUAUCAGCAUCAUGCAAUAAAACCAUAAAAAUUCCAGCACUUCCUGCUGCUGCAAAUGCUCAAAGUGGCAAGGCAAGGAUGCAUUUGGUUAGCAGAUUGCACUAGAUUGAACAUGGUGAAACUGUUCCAUGGGGAGAGGCGGGCAUAGAUGAGGCCGCGGGUAACAGUAUAGUUGCCUUUAGGGCUAUAGGCUAUUCUACUUCACCCUAUAAUCUCUUGAAAGCUACAUAUCCAGAUAUUGCUUGGCAUAUCAUGCAUGGCUUUCCACUCUCGUCCUCGAAUCGAACCUCGUGUGUGUGAAAAACCGGUUGAAUGCAUGAGAUGGGAUGGCAAAAGGCAGCCUCCUCUGCCGGAGCGAAGUGGAUAUCUGGAAGUGAUCGUCCAAGCUUUUUCUAUCUCUCAAAUAUUUUCCGGUUACUCUCUCUCAUCUUUCAACAUCUAAGGAUUGAAAUAUGAGAAAGAAGAUGUUUGAGAUUGAAAUGUAAAAUGUUAAAACAACAGGGGACAUAUAAAUAACGUACAGUUUUUUGGCGCAA
RNA transcript from Populus nigra (black poplar), 2057 nucleotides. RefSeq lists it as uncharacterized. Lineage: Eukaryota; Viridiplantae; Streptophyta; Magnoliopsida; Malpighiales; Salicaceae. The transcript is spliced from 9 exons. The record is from RefSeq and is a predicted model, not a curated record.